UCUCCGUUGGUGAACCAGCGGAGGGAUCAUUAGCGAGUUGAAAAACUCCCAAACCCAUGCGUACCUUACCAUGUCGUUGCUUCGGCGGGCGGCUCUUGACCCUCCCCCCCGAGUCCGGUGGGGAGGGGAGAGGGCACGCGGGCCCCCCGUCGGGGGGGCGCCCGCCGGAGGCCCGAACAGACACUGUCAUCUCAGCGAGAAGUCCUCUGAGCCAACUGAAAAAUCAGUAAAAACUUUCAACAACGGAUCUCUUGGUUCUGGCAUCGAUGAAGAACGUAGCGAAAUGCGAUAAGUAAUGUGAAUUGCAGAAUUCAGUGAAUCAUCGAAUCUUUGAACGCACAUUGCGCCCGCCAGCAUUCUGGCGGGCAUGCCUGUCCGAGCGUCAUUUCAACCCCCCAAGGCCCAGCGCCUGGUGUUGGGGCACCGCGGAGACGCGGGCCCCCAAGUCCAGUGGCGAGCCCGCCGGCGAACCGAGCGAAGUAACAUACCCUCCGCCACGGUGACCCGACGGGACCCAGCCGUGAAAACCGGUCGGGAGCGCGGCCACGAAACCGCGCGACCGCCGAAACUAAGUGGUUGACCUCGGAUCAGGUAGGAAUACCCGCUGAACUUAA
This 614-nucleotide ribosomal RNA is filed under the name Calosphaeria pulchella. RNAcentral describes it as "eukaryotic LSU rRNA". The stretch from base 232 to 385 matches the Rfam family "5.8S ribosomal RNA". Lineage: Eukaryota; Fungi; Ascomycota; Sordariomycetes; Calosphaeriales; Calosphaeriaceae. The record is from RNAcentral.